CCAACCGGGAUUGCCUUAGUAACGGCGAGUGAAGCGGCAAAAGCUCAAAUUUGAAAUCUGGUACCUUCGGUGCCCGAGUUGUAAUUUGGAGAGGGCAACUUUGGGGCCGUUCCUUGUCUAUGUUCCUUGGAACAGGACGUCAUAGAGGGUGAGAAUCCCGUGUGGCGAGGAGUGCGGUUCUUUGUAAAGUGCCUUCGAAGAGUCGAGUUGUUUGGGAAUGCAGCUCUAAGUGGGUGGUAAAUUCCAUCUAAAGCUAAAUAUUGGCGAGAGACCGAUAGCGAACAAGUACAGUGAUGGAAAGAUGAAAAGAACUUUGAAAAGAGAGUGAAAAAGUACGUGAAAUUGUUGAAAGGGAAGGGCAUUUGAUCAGACAUGGUGUUUUGUGCCCUCUGCUCCUUGUGGGUAGGGGAAUCUCGCAUUUCACUGGGCCAGCAUCAGUUUUGGUGGCAGGAUAAAUCCAUAGGAAUGUAGCUUGCCUCGGUAAGUAUUAUAGCCUGUGGGAAUACUGCCAGCUGGGACUGAGGACUGCGACGUAAGUCAAGGAUGCUGGCAUAAUGGUUAUAUGCCGCCCGUCUUGAAACACGGACCUCCUGUGUGAGGGAUCCCCCUCAAAUGGC
This 617-nucleotide ribosomal RNA is filed under the name Saccharomyces cerevisiae (brewer's yeast). Its description in RNAcentral is "eukaryotic LSU rRNA". It matches the Rfam family "Eukaryotic large subunit ribosomal RNA", at positions 65 to 664 of the family's 3401-position model. Lineage: Eukaryota; Fungi; Ascomycota; Saccharomycetes; Saccharomycetales; Saccharomycetaceae. The record is from RNAcentral.